This 496-nucleotide ribosomal RNA is filed under the name uncultured bacterium. RNAcentral's name for it is "partial 16S ribosomal RNA". It matches the Rfam family "Bacterial small subunit ribosomal RNA", at positions 29 to 507 of the family's 1533-position model. The record is from RNAcentral.
AUGCACGCUGGCGGCGUGCCUAAUACAUGCAAGUCGAGCGAACGGACGAGAAGCUUGCUUUUCUGAUGUUAGCGGCGGACGGGUGAGUAACACGUGGAUAACCUACCUAUAAGACUGGGAUAACUUCGGGAAACCGGAGCUAAUACCGGAUAAUAUUUUGAACCGCAUGGUUCAAAAGUGAAAGACGGUCUUGCUGUCACUUAUAGAUGGAUCCGCGCUGCAUUAGCUAGUUGGUAAGGUAACGGCCUACCAAGGCAACGAUGCAUAGCCGACCUGAGAGGGUGAUCGGCCACACUGGAACUGAGACACGGUCCAGACUCCUACGGGAGGCAGCAGUAGGGAAUCUUCCGCAAUGGGCGAAAGCCUGACGGAGCAACGCCGCGUGAGUGAUGAAGGUCUUCGGAUCGUAAAACUCUGUUAUUAGGGAAGAACACAUGUGUAAGUAACUGUGCACAUCUUGACGGUACCUAAUCAGAAAGCCACGGCUAACUACGUG